GAAAUUAUAUAUGUAUUUUUAUGAAAUUUUUAUUUUUAGGGUAAAAUUAGAAAAUAUAAUUUAAAUUGAUAUUAUUUGUAAGAUUUUUUUAAUGAAUCAGAUUAGUACCUGAGUAAGAAAAAUUAAAUAUAGCAGGAGUAAAGUUUUGUUUAAACUGAAAGAAUAUUGGCAGGCUUUUUAAAUUAUCUUUGGAGGUUGAACUAUAAUUGAGAACCCUCAUUAUUUACUUUAGUUUUAGUUAUAUGUAUGAUCGUUUAUUUUAUUGUUAGAGAUUGUAAGUAAAAGUUUUUUAUUAUAAAAAUAGAUAAAUACUUAGUAUAUACUAAAGGUUGUUUUGACCUACAAUAAUUGGACUUGUGGAAUAAUGAAUUGAUUUUUGUUAUGAAAAUGUAAAAGACAGUAAAUUA
Molecule: ribosomal RNA, 407 nt
Filed under: Meteterakis ishikawanae
Lineage: Eukaryota; Metazoa; Nematoda; Chromadorea; Rhabditida; Heterakidae
Description: partial 12S ribosomal RNA
Source: RNAcentral